Ornithodoros turicata is the source of this 376-nucleotide long non-coding RNA. RefSeq lists it as uncharacterized. The transcript has 4 exons. The record is from RefSeq and is a predicted model, not a curated record. Lineage: Eukaryota; Metazoa; Arthropoda; Arachnida; Ixodida; Argasidae.
AUUUGAAGAGGACUACUGGGGUCCGCCGCCACCACAAUAUUACUGGCGUUCGCCGCCACCGCCACCACCCUGUAUGUAUUAUUGAAAUAUAUAUUUUACAGAUGGCUCAGGCAGCACAGCGCGACGACCCAACGUGGUGUGCGGUGCGGCUCCCGACGACGGCCCAGCUGUAUCGUAUACCCCAACGCUUUCCCGAGAUUCAGCCAAUGUACCCUUACCUCCUUGCCUCCUUUCCCAGCACGAGUGUUAAUUUGCGCGAUUUUUAACAAUGAAAACAGUAUGUCAUUGUAGGAAACGCUUAAUUACAUCAUAGUCAUCAGCAACAUGAGUUCUUUAUGGCAUCACUUUACCACCAAUGAAAAAAUGGGUGUUAUAU